Molecule: ribosomal RNA, 253 nt
Filed under: uncultured bacterium
Lineage: Bacteria
Description: partial 16S ribosomal RNA
Rfam family: Bacterial small subunit ribosomal RNA
Source: RNAcentral
UACGGGGGGGGUAAGCGUUGUUCGGAAUUACUGGGCGUAAAGGGCUCGUAGGCGGCCAACUAAGUCGGACGUGAAAUCCCUCGGCUUAACCGGGGAACUGCGUCUGAUACUGGAUGGCUUGAGUUUGGGAGAGGGAUGCGGAAUUCCAGGUGUAGCGGUGAAAUGCGUAGAUAUCUGGAGGAACACCGGUGGCGAAGGCGGCAUCCUGGACCAACACUGACACUGAGGAGCGAAAGCCAGGGGAGCAAACGGG